AAGAGUUAGGGUCUUCUAGGCCCGACCUCCCAACCCUUUGUCUACUUGACCCAUCGUUGCUUCGGCGGGCCCGUCUCACGACCGCCGGGGGACCGUCAUACGUUCCCUGGCCCGCGCCCGUCGGUGGCCAACCUUAACAAACUCUGUAACAAUCGUGUCUUGUCUGAGUCUAAUUUUUAAUUAAAACA
This 188-nucleotide unclassified non-coding RNA is filed under the name uncultured Capronia. RNAcentral's name for it is "sequence contains ITS1". Lineage: Eukaryota; Fungi; Ascomycota; Eurotiomycetes; Chaetothyriales; Herpotrichiellaceae. The record is from RNAcentral.